UACGGGAGGCAGCAGUGAGGAAUAUUGGACAAUGGGCGCAAGCCUGAUCCAGCCAUGCCGCGUGCAGGAUGACGGUCCUAUGGAUUGUAAACUGCUUUUAUACGGGAAGAAACCCUGGCUCGUGAGCCAGAUUGACGGUACCGUAGGAAUAAGGAUCGGCUAACUCCGUGCCAGCAGCCGCGGUAAUACGGAGGAUCCAAGCGUUAUCCGGAAUCAUUGGGUUUAAAGGGUCCGUAGGCGGUUUUAUAAGUCAGUGGUGAAAUCCGGUAGCUCAACUAUCGAACUGCCAUUGAUACUGUAGAACUUGAAUUGCUGUGAAGUAACUAGAAUAUGUAGUGUAGCGGUGAAAUGCUUAGAUAUUACAUGGAAUACCAAUUGCGAAGGCAGGUUACUAACAUCAUAUUGACGCUGAUGGACGAAAGCGUGGGGAGCGAACAGGAUUAGAUACCCUGGUAGUCCACGCCGUAAACGAUGGAUACUAGCUGUUUGGUAGCA
RNAcentral lists this ribosomal RNA (495 nucleotides) under uncultured bacterium. RNAcentral describes it as "bacterial SSU rRNA". It matches the Rfam family "Bacterial small subunit ribosomal RNA", at positions 340 to 832 of the family's 1533-position model. The record is from RNAcentral.